UCGCAUUGUUCCUCAUCGAGCGGCCGCCAGUUCACAGUUUAUAGUACUGAACCAAACUCCGGGGAUCAUCGGGAGUAAGCUCUAAUGCUCAAUUUCGGCUUACAAUGGUAAAAUCCUCAAUUCCUGUAAUUAGCAAAUAUCGGUAGAUUAAUAAAAAUGUGAAUCUCCCUCUCUUUCUUUCUCUCCAUAAACACAAGCAAGUCACGGACUGAAUUCCAUAGGUGUUUUGUUUUCCAUUUCCGAUCACUGUGGUUUAGAAAUAAGAAGACGCACUGUAGCACUGUGGUUGGGACCGCAAUGCGUCUCUAUCACCGGGACACAAAGACGGAAUUGGCGAUUAUAUAUUUAAGCGCUCGACGAUUUGAAAAGAAGCAGGUGAUUGUGUAAUUAAUUAGUAACCCUAAUCGGAUGAUUAGGUAAUCUGAUUUGAACUGAUCUGAUCAGAUCAAUAAUGGUGAUGGC
This 462-nucleotide long non-coding RNA is filed under the name Zostera marina. RNAcentral describes it as "long non-coding RNA (ZMAR_LNC001860)". The record is from RNAcentral. Lineage: Eukaryota; Viridiplantae; Streptophyta; Magnoliopsida; Alismatales; Zosteraceae.